AGCAGCCGCGGUAAUUCCAGCUCCAAUAGCGUAUAUUAAAGUUGUUGCAGUUAAAAAGCUCGUAGUUGAAUUUCGGGAUUGACACAUCGGUCGUGCCUUAAGGGGUAUGAACUGGUGUAGUCAAUUUCUCACCUUCUGGAGAACCGCGAUGCCCUUAAUUGGGUGUCACGGGGAACCAGGACCUUUACUUUGAAAAAUUAGAGUGUUUAAAGCAGGCAUUUUGCUUGAAUACAUUAGCAUGGAAUAAUAAAAUAGGACGGCAUGAUUCUAUUUUGUUGGUUUCUAGGAUCACCGUAAUGAUUAAUAGGGAUAGUUGGGGGCAUUAGUAUUCAAUUGUCAGAGGUGAAAUUCUUGGAUUUAUUGAAGACUAACUACUGCGAAAGCAUUUGCCAAGGAU
This 397-nucleotide ribosomal RNA is filed under the name Entrophospora sp. FW-2016. RNAcentral's name for it is "SSU rRNA". It matches the Rfam family "Eukaryotic small subunit ribosomal RNA", at positions 569 to 965 of the family's 1831-position model. The record is from RNAcentral. RNAcentral also lists the same sequence under 1 other name. Lineage: Eukaryota; Fungi; Glomeromycota; Glomeromycetes; Entrophosporales; Entrophosporaceae.